GGACGAACGCUGGCGGCGUGCCUAACACAUGCAAGUCGAACGGGGUGUUCCUUCGGGGACACUUAGUGGCGAACGGGUGAGUAACGCGUGAGAAACCUGCCUUUCAGUGGGGGACAACAGUUGGAAACGACUGCUAAUACCGCAUAAUGUUAUUUAGGGGCAUCCCUGAAUAACCAAAGCUUUAUGUGCUGAAAGAUGGUCUCGCGUCUGAUUAGCUAGAUGGCGGGGUAACGGCCCACCAUGGCGACGAUCAGUAGCCGGUCUGAGAGGAUGAACGGCCACAUUGGGACUGAGAUACGGCCCAGACUCCUACGGGAGGCAGCAGUGGGGAAUAUUGGGCAAUGGGGGAAACCCUGACCCAGCAACGCCGCGUGAAGGAAGAAGGCCUUCGGGUUGUAAACUUCUUUUACCAGGGACGAACACAAUGACGGUACCUGGAGAAAAAGCAACGGCUAACUACGUG
RNAcentral lists this ribosomal RNA (463 nucleotides) under uncultured bacterium. Its description in RNAcentral is "bacterial SSU rRNA". It matches the Rfam family "Bacterial small subunit ribosomal RNA", at positions 27 to 507 of the family's 1533-position model. The record is from RNAcentral.